Molecule: ribosomal RNA, 492 nt
Filed under: uncultured bacterium
Lineage: Bacteria
Description: partial 16S ribosomal RNA
Rfam family: Bacterial small subunit ribosomal RNA
Source: RNAcentral
AGUGAACGCUGGCGGUAGGCCUAACACAUGCAAGUCGAACGGCAGCACAGUAAGAGCUUGCUCUUACGGGUGGCGAGUGGCGGACGGGUGAGGAAUACAUCGGAAUCUACUUUUUCGUGGGGGAUAACGUAGGGAAACUUACGCUAAUACCGCAUACGACCUACGGGUGAAAGCAGGGGAUCUUCGGACCUUGCGCGAUUGAAUGAGCCGACGUCGGAUUAGCUAGUUGGCGGGGUAAAGGCCCACCAAGGCGACGAUCCGUAGCUGGUCUGAGAGGAUGAUCAGCCACACUGGAACUGAGACACGGUCCAGACUCCUACGGGAGGCAGCAGUGGGGAAUAUUGGACAAUGGGCGCAAGCCUGAUCCAGCCAUACCGCGUGGGUGAAGAAGGCCUUCGGGUUGUAAAGCCCUUUUGUUGGGAAAGAAAAGCAGCAGGUUAAUACCCCGCUGUUCUGACGGUACCAAAAGAAUAAGCACCGGCUAACUUCGUG